AGAGCUGCCGCCAUUUUGCGGGAAGAGGAGCCGCUGUACCUGCAGUGCUGCUUUUCUUGCCUAGACUCUAGGAACUAUCCGAGCUCCACUCCCCACAACAUACUCAAAGGAACGGAGAGAACCAGGACCCCCCUGCGGGGACCCGGAACUGAUCUGACAGGAUGGCAUCUGAUGACUUUGACAUAGUGAUUGAGGCCAUGCUGGAAGCUCCCUAUAAAAAAGAAGAGGAUGAGCAACAAAGGAAAGAAGUUAAAAAGGAUUAUCCUAGCAAUACCACCAGCAGCACCAGCAACAGUGGCAAUGAGACCAGUGGAAGCAGCACCAUCGGGGAGACAAGCAAGAAGAAGAGGAGUCGGAGCCAUAGUAAAAGCAGGGAUAGAAAGCGCAGUCGUAGUCGAGAUCGGGAUCGGUAUAGACGGAGAAAUAGUCGGAGCCGAAGUCGAGGUCGGCAGCGUCGUCACCGUAGCCGUAGCUGGGAUCGUCGACAUAGUAGUGAGUCGCGAAGUCGGGACCAUCGUCGUGAGGAUCGUGUGCAUUACAGGAGUCCUCCACUUGCCACUGGUUAUAGGUAUGGACACAGUAAGAGUCCUCAUUUCAGAGAGAAGAGCCCAGUCAGGGAGCCAAUUGAUAAUCUGAGUCCUGAGGAGCGUGAUGCCCGCACAGUUUUCUGUAUGCAGUUAGCUGCCCGAAUUCGGCCUCGAGAUCUGGAGGACUUUUUCUCUGCUGUAGGCAAGGUUCGCGAUGUACGUAUCAUCUCAGAUCGGAACUCACGUCGUUCUAAGGGCAUUGCCUACGUGGAAUUCUGUGAAAUCCAGUCUGUGCCACUGGCCAUUGGGCUGACUGGGCAGCGGUUGCUGGGAGUGCCUAUCAUUGUACAGGCUUCACAGGCAGAGAAAAACCGACUGGCAGCCAUGGCCAACAACCUGCAAAAGGGCAAUGGUGGACCAAUGCGCCUCUAUGUGGGUUCCCUGCACUUCAAUAUCACUGAAGACAUGCUCCGGGGCAUCUUUGAGCCCUUUGGUAAAAUUGAUAAUAUUGUCCUGAUGAAGGACUCGGAUACAGGCCACUCUAAAGGUUAUGGUUUCAUCACGGUGAGUCUCUAGUCUUUUAAUUUUUUUAUUUUACUUUGGGUUUGUCCACUUGUCUGAUUUUGCAGCUUAGCUUCAUCCUCCUCCUUUAGGAACUGUCUAAAUGACCCAUAAACCCUGGUGCCUGAAGCUUGGACUAGCCUUCUACCCCUUGAGAUGAGUGCAUUGCUUGAGAUCUUGGCUUUGCUCCUACACUCUGUCAGUGGCCCUGGUAUGGGGGUGUUCAGGAGUUCAACCAGCUUCCCUGGUGCUGCAACUUGGCUCUUUGGGUAAUAGUAACCAGGCUGCAGCUAAAAGGUUGGGGGUGUGAGGGAGGUUAGGUAUGGACUUUUAAAGACAUGCUUUAUAGAAUUGAUGUUUCUCAUAACAGGGAUGGGAAUAGGAAAUUAUACUUCCCUCUGGUGCUACCCCAUUUGAAGCAAUUUCUGCACCGAGAAGGAUCAGUUAUUAACGUAGCACUAUGGGGAGAAUAGUGAGGCCACCUAAUUAUGGGCAAGCUUCACCUUUUCCUGACAUUCCAACAAAAUGGUUGCCAAUUCCUAUAACUGGUUCUUCCAGCCCCAUGUGACUCCAGGCUGAGAACUGGCUGCCAGCCACAAAGUCUGAUAGAAGCUUGUAUUUUCUGGGCUUAAACCAGGCAGCAUACACUCCCACAGUUACCCACAGGGCAGAGGGCAGUAGGUUGUAUUCUGUCAUUGGAAUUGCUCACCUCAAAAAUAUCCAGUAAAGGCAAGCCAUGUAUAACACCUGCCUAGGAACUGUCAGUACCACAUGCCAGGCCCUAAGGCAGGUAAUGCUGCUAGCUAGCUAAACAAGCUAGCUGUGGUGUUGACAAUUCUGUGGUGGCAAGUAACUUUUGUAACCUUUUCUCGCUCUCUGUGUGACUGAGAUAUGGAAAGGCUUCUGUGGGGCAUUUUUGCCCUUGCAUUGUUGCCUUUUGGGUCAACAACCUUGACACUUAAACAAACAGCAGACUGGGAAUCCUCUUUGUACCAGUGUGUUGCUGGGUGCUGCUGAUAAAAGGGACUAGAGAGUAAAGGCCUUCUGGUCAGCAGGUCACUUAGUCAACAGCUCUCGUGUGUAUGUGGGGGUGUGCGUUCUGCCUUGCUGUCAGCACUAGGGUGUGUUCCCUCUUAAGCCUGGAAUUAGGAGUUCCAGAUUCCUAGUACUUAACUAAAAUUUGGCCAGGCGCGGUGGCUCACGCCUGUAAUCCCAGCAGUUUGGGAGGCCAAGGUGGGUGAAUCGCCUGAGGUCAGGAGUUCGAGACCAGCCUGACCAAUGUGGUGAAACCCCAUCUCUACU
RNAcentral lists this small RNA (2390 nucleotides) under Pan troglodytes (chimpanzee). Its description in RNAcentral is "retained intron". Lineage: Eukaryota; Metazoa; Chordata; Mammalia; Primates; Hominidae. The record is from RNAcentral.